CACGUAGGGCGCAAGCGUUGUCCGGAAUUAUUGGGCGUAAAGAGCUCGUAGGCGGUCUGUUACGUCUGCUGUGAAAACCCGGGGCUUAACCCUGGGCUUGCAGUGGAUACGGGCAGACUAGAGGCAGGUAGGGGAGAAUGGAAUUCCCGGUGUAGCGGUGAAAUGCGCAGAUAUCAGGAGGAACACCGGUGGCGAAGGCGGAUCUCUGGGCCUGUCCUGACGCUCAGGCGCGAAAGCUAGGGGAGUAAACAGG
RNAcentral lists this ribosomal RNA (253 nucleotides) under uncultured bacterium. RNAcentral describes it as "partial 16S ribosomal RNA". It matches the Rfam family "Bacterial small subunit ribosomal RNA", at positions 524 to 776 of the family's 1533-position model. The record is from RNAcentral.